Molecule: transfer RNA, 60 nt
Filed under: Hirudo medicinalis (medicinal leech)
Lineage: Eukaryota; Metazoa; Annelida; Clitellata; Hirudinida; Hirudinidae
Description: tRNA-Leu
Source: RNAcentral
AAUAAGUUGGCAGAUUAGUGCAAUUGUUUUAGGUUCAAUAUAUGAAUAUAUUCACUUAUU